Molecule: long non-coding RNA, 1220 nt
Organism: Oncorhynchus tshawytscha (Chinook salmon)
Lineage: Eukaryota; Metazoa; Chordata; Actinopteri; Salmoniformes; Salmonidae
Source: Ensembl
AAUAUAUUAUUUAGAGCGCACAUCACUAUUAUUUAUGAAGAACGACGUGAUCAUUCUGGACAUGUAGUUUAGUAAUGGGGAGAAAAAAAACGACAUUUGGAAAAACCCAUUCAAGAUCUCAUUCUCAAUACUGUUAGGAAGGUGUCCAUCCCAUUUAAUGCCCUCUUCCUGUUGUCAUUCUCCCAUCAGCCACAUCAUGAUUGCGGUAUCAAUAUUAGGACCGACUCGGAGUCACAAGCAGUUAGUCCUAAUUUGGAUACCGUACAGGAUAGCACGUUCUCUCAGAAAAGGAAGUCACCCAUAGACACUUUGAGUUGCAGACUUACACAGACAUCUAUCAUGUCACAAUUCACCCAAACUGUCUAGAUUGGCUGGAUAUUUGAAUAACAAGUGCAUUUGAUAAACUGUUAUGGAUGAUAGGCUAUGGUUAUCACCUGUUUUGUAUGACAGGCUAUAGGUUAUAACCUGUUUUGUAUGACAGGCUAUAGGUUAUAACCUGUUUUGUAUGACAGGCUAUAGGUUAUAACCUGUUUUGUAUGACAGGCUAAAGGUUAUAACCUGUUUUGUAUGACAGGCUAUAGGUUAUAACCUGUUUUGUAUGACAGGCUAAAGGUUAUAACCUGUUAUGGAUUAUAGGCAAAAGGUUAUAACCUGUUAAGGAUUAUAGGCUAUAGGUUAUAACCUGUUAUGGAUGAUAGGCUAUAGGUUAUAACCUGUUGUGAAUGAUAGGCUUUAUGUUAUAACCUGUUAUGAAUUAUAGACUAUAGGUUAUAACCUGUUAUGGAUUAUAAACUAUAGGUUAUAACCUGUAAUGGAUUAUUGGUUAUAACAAGAAAGGACCACACUCUUUUUACUAACAAAACUGUGAUGACUGUUGAGAAGGUGACAUAUCCAGAAAGAAGUCCUAACUAUAUGUUCUUUGAAUUCAUACUUAAAAAAUGUCCGCAUUGUUUUUUUAAAAUUGUUAACCAAAUUAGAUUUAGUGAUUGUACAAUAUUAAAAGUGUACAUUUUGUUCAUUUAAAGCGAAGAAGGGAAUAAGACAUAAUUGCGUAUCUUAUUAUUAUCUUAUUAUUAUAAAGAGUAAGAAACCUCUUCUUCUGGUCUGUUUCUAUCCACAACGUUGUAUACAAUUGCUGGUUUUGUAAUGCACUGUAGAGAAAGCAGUUCCACUGUUCAUUUUUCUUCUCUUUUUUUUAAAUAGAAAUGGUAUUUCGAUGG